RNAcentral lists this ribosomal RNA (610 nucleotides) under uncultured bacterium. RNAcentral's name for it is "bacterial SSU rRNA". It matches the Rfam family "Bacterial small subunit ribosomal RNA", at positions 8 to 590 of the family's 1533-position model. The record is from RNAcentral.
AGAGUUUGAUCAUGGCUCAGAAUGAACGCUGGCGGCGUGCUUAACACAUGCAAGUCGCACGAGAAAUCUUCAGCUUGCUGAAGAGAGUAAAGUGGCGCACGGGUGAGUAACGCGUGGGCAAUCUGCCUCCGAAUCGGGGAUAACAUUGCGAAAGCGAUGCUAAUACCGGAUAAAAUCUUUUUGGCUCAGGUGAAAAAGAUCAAAGGCGAUCUCUUUUUAAAAAUUGCCGUUCGGAGAUGAGCCCGCGUACCAUUAGCCGGUUGGCAGGGUGACGGCCUACCAAGGCGACGAUGGUUAGCUGGUCUGAGAGGAUGAUCAGCCACACCGGAACUGGAACACGGUCCGGACUCCUACGGGAGGCAGCAGUGAGGAAUUUUGCGCAAUGGGGGCAACCCUGACGCAGCAACGCCGCGUGAGUGAUGAAGGCUUUCGGGUCGUAAAGCUCUGUCAGGCGGGAAGAACCUGCUAUGAGUCAACACCUCAUGGCACUGACGGUACCGCCGAAGGAAGCACCGGCUAACUCCGUGCCAGCAGCCGCGGUAAUACGGGGGGUGCGAGCGUUAUUCGGAUUCAUUGGGCGUAAAGGGCGCGCAGGCGGUUUUGUAAGUCA